AGGGGGAGAGGCCCCGGCACCUUCUUGGGGUGCGUUGCCGAAUUUGCACUUCGG
This 54-nucleotide transfer RNA is filed under the name Sphaerodactylus leucaster. RNAcentral's name for it is "partial tRNA-Cys". The record is from RNAcentral. Lineage: Eukaryota; Metazoa; Chordata; Lepidosauria; Squamata; Sphaerodactylidae.